This is a small nuclear RNA of Chiloscyllium plagiosum (whitespotted bambooshark), 110 nucleotides long. The record is from RefSeq and is a predicted model, not a curated record. NCBI's taxonomy places the organism in Eukaryota, Metazoa, Chordata, Chondrichthyes, Orectolobiformes, Hemiscylliidae.
UUCAAAACUGAUUGAUUGAACUACACAUUAAAAUUGGAACGAAACAGAGAAGAUUAGCAUGGCUCCUGAACAAAGAUGACACGCAAAUUUGUGAAGUGUUCCAUAUUUUU